CCACAGAGGGUAUAUAAUAUCCAUUCUUCCAGCAGGGGGCUCUCUCACCAUUAGAAGUCUAGAUGGGAAAAGAUAAAAAAUGAUCCACUCAGUUGUUCAUUGGAUUCAUUUAACUCACUCACCAAAAUAUGAUUGAGUUCCUGCUAACUAUCAAAUCCCAUUACUUUUCAGGGAUACAGUAGGGAGGACUUCAUUCUCAGGGAACUUAGAAUCUAGUGUCUAAUUUUUAGCUGCUUCCACAAGAAAAAAUCGUCACUUCCUGAGUAAAAGCUGUUAUUACCAGGACAUCCAUUUGAAGAGGAGGUGAUUCUACUUGCUGAGAAAAUUGCGCUGUUGUUUUCCUUCCAAAUGAAAAUGAUAUUAUUGCAUCUUAUGGGAGAAAAUAAUUUUUACAACUUGGAUUAUCCACUUGAAUGAAUGCUGUCAGUAUAAAAGAGAAGAUUGGUAUUCCUUUAUGGACCACUAGAACAUCAACCUCUGAACAUACUCAAGAGCUGGAAACCAACCACAUACUCACCUUACUGUCAGCGUGUCAGGGGAGAGUUUCGGAGGCUCACAGUGACAUAUGCUUUGGUCAAAAAUAAGUCACAUAUGAAGACAGCUUCAUGUGGUGAAAAUCGCAGAGUUGGAAGUUAGAAAACAGAGUUCUAAUUAUAAUCUCACCAUCCACUAUUGUGG
Canis lupus familiaris (dog) is the source of this 678-nucleotide long non-coding RNA. RefSeq lists it as uncharacterized. The transcript has 4 exons. The record is from RefSeq and is a predicted model, not a curated record. NCBI's taxonomy places the organism in Eukaryota, Metazoa, Chordata, Mammalia, Carnivora, Canidae.